GGGUUGUGAGGUUAAGCGACUAAGCGUACACGGUGGAUGCCCUGGCAGUCAGAGGCGAUGAAGGACGUGCUAAUCUGCGAUAAGCGUCGGUAAGGUGAUAUGAACCGUUAUAACCGGCGAUUUCCGAAUGGGGAAACCCAGUGUGUUUCGACACACUAUCAUUAACUGAAUCCAUAGGUUAAUGAGGCGAACCGGGGGAACUGAAACAUCUAAGUACCCCGAGGAAAAGAAAUCAACCGAGAUUCCCCCAGUAGCGGCGAGCGAACGGGGAGCAGCCCAGAGCCUGAAUCAGUGUGUGUGUUAGUGGAAGCGUCUGGAAAGGCGCGCGAUACAGGGUGACAGCCCCGUACACAAAAAUGCACAUGCUGUGAGCUCGAUGAGUAGGGCGGGACACGUGGUAUCCUGUCUGAAUAUGGGGGGACCAUCCUCCAAGGCUAAAUACUCCUGACUGACCGAUAGUGAACCAGUACCGUGAGGGAAAGGCGAAAAGAACCCCGGCGAGGGGAGUGAAAAAGAACCUGAAACCGUGUACGUACAAGCAGUGGGAGCACGCUUAGGCGUGUGACUGCGUACCUUUUGUAUAAUGGGUCAGCGACUUAUAUUCUGUAGCAAGGUUAACCGAAUAGGGGAGCCGAAGGGAAACCGAGUCUUAACUGGGCGUUAAGUUGCAGGGUAUAGACCCGAAACCCGGUGAUCUAGCCAUGGGCAGGUUGAAGGUUGGGUAACACUAACUGGAGGACCGAACCGACUAAUGUUGAAAAAUUAGCGGAUGACUUGUGGCUGGGGGUGAAAGGCCAAUCAAACCGGGAGAUAGCUGGUUCUCCCCGAAAGCUAUUUAGGUAGCGCCUCGUGAAUUCAUCUCCGGGGGUAGAGCACUGUUUCGGCAAGGGGGUCAUCCCGACUUACCAACCCGAUGCAAACUGCGAAUACCGGAGAAUGUUAUCACGGGAGACACACGGCGGGUGCUAACGUCCGUCGUGAAGAGGGAAACAACCCAGACCGCCAGCUAAGGUCCCAAAGUCAUGGUUAAGUGGGAAACGAUGUGGGAAGGCCCAGACAGCCAGGAUGUUGGCUUAGAAGCAGCCAUCAUUUAAAGAAAGCGUAAUAGCUCACUGGUCGAGUCGGCCUGCGCGGAAGAUGUAACGGGGCUAAACCAUGCACCGAAGCUGCGGCAGCGACGCUGAUGCGUUGUUGGGUAGGGGAGCGUUCUGUAAGCCUGCGAAGGUGUGCUGUGAGGCAUGCUGGAGGUAUCAGAAGUGCGAAUGCUGACAUAAGUAACGAUAAAGCGGGUGAAAAGCCCGCUCGCCGGAAGACCAAGGGUUCCUGUCCAACGUUAAUCGGGGCAGGGUGAGUCGACCCCUAAGGCGAGGCCGAAAGGCGUAGUCGAUGGGAAACAGGUUAAUAUUCCUGUACUUGGUGUUACUGCGAAGGGGGGACGGAGAAGGCUAUGUUGGCCGGGCGACGGUUGUCCCGGUUUAAGCGUGUAGGCUGGUUUUCCAGGCAAAUCCGGAAAAUCAAGGCUGAGGCGUGAUGACGAGGCACUACGGUGCUGAAGCAACAAAUGCCCUGCUUCCAGGAAAAGCCUCUAAGCAUCAGGUAACAUCAAAUCGUACCCCAAACCGACACAGGUGGUCAGGUAGAGAAUACCAAGGCGCUUGAGAGAACUCGGGUGAAGGAACUAGGCAAAAUGGUGCCGUAACUUCGGGAGAAGGCACGCUGAUAUGUAGGUGAAGCGACUUGCUCGUGGAGCUGAAAUCAGUCGAAGAUACCAGCUGGCUGCAACUGUUUAUUAAAAACACAGCACUGUGCAAACACGAAAGUGGACGUAUACGGUGUGACGCCUGCCCGGUGCCGGAAGGUUAAUUGAUGGGGUCAGCGCAAGCGAAGCUCUUGAUCGAAGCCCCGGUAAACGGCGGCCGUAACUAUAACGGUCCUAAGGUAGCGAAAUUCCUUGUCGGGUAAGUUCCGACCUGCACGAAUGGCGUAAUGAUGGCCAGGCUGUCUCCACCCGAGACUCAGUGAAAUUGAACUCGCUGUGAAGAUGCAGUGUACCCGCGGCAAGACGGAAAGACCCCGUGAACCUUUACUAUAGCUUGACACUGAACAUUGAGCCUUGAUGUGUAGGAUAGGUGGGAGGCUUUGAAGUGUGGACGCCAGUCUGCAUGGAGCCGACCUUGAAAUACCACCCUUUAAUGUUUGAUGUUCUAACGUUGACCCGUGAUCCGGGUUGCGGACAGUGUCUGGUGGGUAGUUUGACUGGGGCGGUCUCCUCCUAAAGAGUAACGGAGGAGCACGAAGGUUGGCUAAUCCUGGUCGGACAUCAGGAGGUUAGUGCAAUGGCAUAAGCCAGCUUGACUGCGAGCGUGACGGCGCGAGCAGGUGCGAAAGCAGGUCAUAGUGAUCCGGUGGUUCUGAAUGGAAGGGCCAUCGCUCAACGGAUAAAAGGUACUCCGGGGAUAACAGGCUGAUACCGCCCAAGAGUUCAUAUCGACGGCGGUGUUUGGCACCUCGAUGUCGGCUCAUCACAUCCUGGGGCUGAAGUAGGUCCCAAGGGUAUGGCUGUUCGCCAUUUAAAGUGGUACGCGAGCUGGGUUUAGAACGUCGUGAGACAGUUCGGUCCCUAUCUGCCGUGGGCGCUGGAGAACUGAGGGGGGCUGCUCCUAGUACGAGAGGACCGGAGUGGACGCAUCACUGGUGUUCGGGUUGUCAUGCCAAUGGCACUGCCCGGUAGCUAAAUGCGGAAGAGAUAAGUGCUGAAAGCAUCUAAGCACGAAACUUGCCCCGAGAUGAGUUCUCCCUGACUCCUUGAGAGUCCUGAAGGAACGUUGAAGACGACGACGUUGAUAGGCCGGGUGUGUAAGCGCAGCGAUGCGUUGAGCUAACCGGUACUAAUGAACCGUGAGGCUUAACCUUACAACGCCGAAG
Molecule: ribosomal RNA, 2925 nt
Filed under: Escherichia coli
Lineage: Bacteria; Pseudomonadati; Pseudomonadota; Gammaproteobacteria; Enterobacterales; Enterobacteriaceae
Description: partial 23S ribosomal RNA
Rfam family: Bacterial large subunit ribosomal RNA
Source: RNAcentral